ACUUCAGGGGGAGUAUGGUCACAAGGCUGAAACUUAAAGGAAUUGACGGAAGGGCACACCAGGAGUGGAGCCUGCGGCUUAAUUUGACUCAACACGGGAAAACUUACCAAGACCGAACAUAAGAAGGAAUGACAGAUUAAAGGAUCUUUCAUGAUUGUAUGGGGAGUGGUGCAUGGCCGUUCUUAGUUGGUGGAAUGAUUUGUCAGGUUAAUUCCGGUAACGAACGAGACUUAAACCUAUUAAUUAGUUGCAUUUGAAAUGGAAAUGCAGAUAAUCCUAUCAUUAUUAGAAAUAAUAAUACUACUUAAAGGGACACGUAUCAAUCUCUUUUUUAUACAGUAGAUAAUAAUUUGUGUUAUUUUUGAAUAAUAAAAAUUAUAUAGUGUAUCAAAAAGAAAAGAUAAAGGAAGCGUUAAGCAAUAACAGGUCUGUGAUGCCCUUAGACAUCUU
This 450-nucleotide ribosomal RNA is filed under the name Entamoeba gingivalis. RNAcentral's name for it is "bacterial SSU rRNA". It matches the Rfam family "Eukaryotic small subunit ribosomal RNA", at positions 1111 to 1483 of the family's 1831-position model. The record is from RNAcentral. Lineage: Eukaryota; Evosea; Mastigamoebida; Endamoebidae.